GACAAGGAAGAGAAGUUGACGUCCCUGGGAUGUCGUCACUUCAUUAUUGCGUGCACCUGCGCGUGCAUGUGAGGGGAGACAUUUUUCAAAAAGGUUUUCAAGACACAGGAGAGGUCGGGUUGAAAUAUUACUGAUGUUUCACGUUAAAAAUGGCCCUAAAGAUUAAUGCUAAACAACGUUUGACAUGUUUGAACGAACGUAAAUAGAUUUUUAUUUUACUUUUCGUCGUGACUUCCUACUUUUGAGGAGCCUACUGAACACCUAACAACAUGGAAAAAUGUGGAGUUAUUUGGACAUAAAUUAUGAACUUUGUCAAAAGAAACCACAUUUGUUGUGGACCUGGGAUGCCUGGAAGUGCCUUCUGAUGGAGAUAAUCAAAGGACCUGAGCCCUAGGACCAUGCCUCAGGACUACCUGGUAUGAUGACUCCUUGCUGUCCCCAGUCCACCUGGCCGUGCUGCUGCUCCAGUUUCAACUGUUCUGCCUGCGGCUAUGGAACCCUGACCUGUUCACCGGACGUGCUUGUUGCACCCUCGACAACUACUAUGAUUAUUAUUAUUUGACCAUGCUGGUCAUUUAUGAACAUUUUAACAUCUUGACCAUGUUCUGUUAUAAUAUCCACCCUGCACAGCCAGAAGAGGACUGGCCACCCCUCAUAGCCUGGUUUCUUACUAGGUUUUUGGCCUUUCUAGGGAGUUUUUCCUAGGGAUUUUUUCCUAGCCACUGUGCUUCUUUCACAUGCAUUGCUUGCUGUUUGGGGUUUUAGGCUGGGUUUCUGUACAGCACUUUGAGAUAUCAGCUGAUGUACGAAGGGCUAUAUAAAUAAAUUUGAUUUGAUUUGAAUAUGAUUUCAUAGGAAGUCAAAAGCUUGCCCUGCCGGAAGCUGGGUCCGCAGCGUGUAGGGCCCUUCAAAGUGCUGAGGAGAAUAAACCAGGUGUGUUACAGAUUACAACUCCCUUCUUAUUAUCGUAUUAACCCCUCGUUUCAUGUGUCUCUCCUCAGGCUGGUGGUAGCUGGUCCCCUGCAAGAAGGUGAGGUGCCGGAGGUCCCUCCGCCCCCUCUGGACAUCAAGGGGUCCCCGGCGUAUACAGUACGUGCCAUUCUGGACUUGAGAUGCCGGGUGAGGGGCCUGCAGUACCUUGUGGACUGGGAGGGGUAUGGCCCGGAGGAGAGGUGCUGGGUGCCGGUGGGGGAC
Molecule: long non-coding RNA, 1194 nt
Filed under: Salmo salar (Atlantic salmon)
Lineage: Eukaryota; Metazoa; Chordata; Actinopteri; Salmoniformes; Salmonidae
Description: lncRNA (ENSSSAG00000083350.1)
Source: RNAcentral